RNAcentral lists this long non-coding RNA (6223 nucleotides) under Sus scrofa (pig). RNAcentral describes it as "lncRNA (ENSSSCG00000056056.1)". The record is from RNAcentral. Lineage: Eukaryota; Metazoa; Chordata; Mammalia; Artiodactyla; Suidae.
GGUGUCUUACUUCCAUUCUAUUGGUGAUCUGAUGAUAGGAAUCUGCAAGAGUGGAGGUUGUUUAUGUGAUAAUACCUGUAAGAAUAAAAAUAUACUGCUCCUAGCUUCCCUAGGGCCUGUCUUUUAAAAUUUUUGGCUGUCAUGUUUUUAAUUAAUUUAUUUUUAGCCACACCAGAAGCGUGUGGAAGUUUCCGGGCCAGGCAUCAAACCCGUGCCACAGGAGCAAUCAGAGCCACAGCAGUGACGACAAUACCAGAUCCUUAACCUGCUGCACCACCAGGGAACUCCCUGAGAAUUUUUUUUUUUAAUGUCUGCACCUAAGGCAUAUGGAAGUUCCCAUGCUAGGGGUCAAAUUGCGGAGCCGCAGCUGCCAGCCUACGCCACAGCCACACCAGAUCCAAGCUGAAUCUGCGACCCCUACCAUCGCAGCUUGUGGCAACGUCUGAUCCUUAACUUGCUGAGCAAGGCCAGGAAUCGAAUCUGCAUCCUCAUGGAUACUAGUUGGAUUCUUAACCCCUGCACCACAGUGGGAACUCUGAGAAUGUAUUAUUCCUGCUGAUUUUGGACCUUCAUUCUGUCCUUGCUCCGAAUUGAUUGGGGGGGAGGGACUAAGACUUUGAGUCUAUGUGUCUUGCUCAAGGUCACUCAGCCAAGAGCUGGUGAAGGCAGGAUUUGAACCUAAGUCUGUUUCUGGGACUGGAGCUCACUUGAGGUUCUCUGCAAUCAGCACUUUCCUCUCCCCGCCAUGGUCAGCCCUGUCUGCAUGGCCCCACUCGUUGGGUCCUUCUCUCAGGGGCCUGUGCUCACUUGGUCUCCUUUCUUAAGAUCUGAAAGGUAGACUGGGGAGGGGUCGAGGCGGGGGGGCCGCGCUCAGCAGUUGUCUAGCUUAAUAAAAACCCUUGAUCUUUUUUGGGGUGGCCUGGGGUGGGGGGGAGUUGCAGCUGUUGUAAGAAAACACUUGCUAAAGGAGGCAAUGGAACAGCUGAGCUGCGUGGUGCCCUGAGAGCAGUGAAGGUUGCAGGCACACACAGUAGGAAUUCACAAACAUUUCUAGAAUGGGCGGUCACACACAAGGCUUCUGUUCGGAUGUUCGGUGGCUCAGAGCAGGUACUAUAGGCUGUUCAGGGCGUCGAAUGCAUACAUGUGUGUAAGAGUAGGCGUGUGCACGCGUGUGCAGGGGGGCAGGUCUGAGUGAGACAAGGCUUCUUGGGUGAAGGGCUGGCCUCAUGGGUCUGGGCACUUGAGAAAGGCUGGCGCGCUCACCUUUCCCCCAGGAGCUGGGAGAUUACAUCUGGCCCUGAGUCACUGCUCCCUGGAGGAAGUUAAUUAAUGCCUAAAUAUUUACUGAGUGUCUGCGGGGACAGUGUGGAGCAGGGCACAGAACCUAUCAGGACCUGGGCUCCUGUCAAUUUCUAGGUGGUGUCAGCCUCACCUUGGAGUCGUGAACACCUUGAAGAGGCUACGCACGCUGGUGGCACCUUUUGGUCACCCAGCUCAGUGGUGGGAGGUAUGCUAGGAAGGUUCCUGGUCUGCAGUGGGACUUGCCUGGUCGGCUUCCAGGGACUGGUUUGGGGAAGAGGAUGCCGAGGCUAAAAGCUUCUUUGAGGGUCUUGUGUUGAGGGCAUGGAGGGGGAGAGAAAUUUCAAACUUAUGUAUUCAUUCCUUUGUUUAUUCACCCCAGAGAUAUGUCCAGAACCCUGCUCUGGAAUCGCUGCAAAUGGAUCGGGGACAAGAUGUGAUCCUGCCCUCAGGAGGCCACGAUUCAGAGGGAAGCAGACAGAUAAGCAGACAGGAUGAUACCGAGCUGUAAGUCUGCCAUCAGAAGCGUGAGGAGUGGGGUAGGGGGGUGGGGGCGGGGUGGAGGAGUUGGGGGAGGGGCCCCCAAAGCUGCCAGGAGACCAAGGAGGGGGAGGGGCCUUUUAGCACUCCAGACCUGGUGGCUGUAGGCACUGAAUAAAUACUUGUGGAAGAAAUCGCUCGAUCCGUGUAAGUAUGCAGAAGAACGUUAGAAUUGGAAGCACCCAAGGAGUUGGGCCGCCCUCCCCUCCAGGUUCCAGAAGGGUAAACUGAGGCCCAGAGAGGCGGAGGGAUGUGUUGAGGGUGUCAGCCCGGAGCUGGGGCUGGAACCCAGCUGUCCCACUUCCCAGUCCGGUUCUGGCUGCCCCAGCUCCAUGUCUCUAGGGCUUGGAGUGGGGGUUGCUCUGUGGGGAGUGAGAUUUGGGACUGCGGGCAGCGGCAGAGAAGGCAUGGGGCAUGGCUGGCUGCAGGUCACUGCUGAGUUCCCUCUGAGGUUGCAGGGCCAGUGAUGCUUGGACUCGGGAGCCCUGUGUUGCACCCCAAGAGGGCUGUUCUGUGGCUGAUGGGCACUGGGGCUCUUGGCGGGGAUUCCAGAGCUGGGGAAUCCCCUCUCCUUCCCUGAAGAACCAGCCUCCUGUCCCUUUCCCAGACACAGGUUAAUGACCUGUCUGUGUUUGCCCAGCAUGGUCCUGGGCAACGGGCUUGGUGCCCGGGAAGACAUCACGGCCCUUAAGUGGAAUGUGGAAGAUUGACAGCGGCCUGGCUUUUUGGAGCUCGUGUUCUGUGCCAGGCACGAGGCCGAAUGCUUCCCCGGGUGGUCUCCUUGAAGCCCCACACCAAACUUUGAGGCAGGCUUGGCCGUAAUCUCCAUUUAUGGAUGAAGCCACUGAGGGACAGAGAGCUUGGGUAGCUUGCCUGGGGUCACACAGCAGGGAAAGAGAAGUAACUCUGAUCCCAGGGCCCUGGGGAAGUGGGGGCACCGCGAGCAGCAGAAGAGGAAGGGAGACCCCCGCUCUUACUUUUGGAUUCGUUGGCCUUUUGAACGAAUUCUGUGCUUAUCGAUGGAAUAUGCAGAGAGGACAGAUGUGAUCUCUCGUCUGGGGUCUCUGCCCAAGCACCUGGCACAGGCUGGGUGCCCAUUUGCUUGUUCAUUCAUUCAUUUAUUCAUCUAUUCAUUCCCUCACUCAACGAUCAUGGACUAAAUACUGGCCGAGGAGCAGGUGCUGUGCUAAGAACACCAGGCGGCUCUCACUGCCCGAGCAGGGCUGAGGAUCCUUUUCAUCUCUUAGGCCCACUCUGAUUGAUUGGUAGUGUCUGUCCGGAGCCUUGGUUUGGAAGGCAUUUGCCUUGUGCUACAGUUGAUUGGUGAUGUCUGCCAAGGGCUCAGCUGGGAGCCUUCAUGGCAAAGCUGCCGGGUAGCUGCCCCUGAGAUGAGGAUGGAGUGUCUGUUCAUGGCUUUGGGCAUCUGGGCUGGUCCAGCAGACGGCGCGGGGACUGGGGGGUCAGGAGAAGUGGGCUCUAGCCCCAGACUGGCCUGUUAUCCUCAGGCAAUGCCCCUUGCCUCUCUUGGGCCUCAGUUUCCUCAUUUGUCUUCUUCCUCCAGGAGGUACUUACUGUGAGCAUCAGAUGACAAAAAAGUGCUUUGAAGAGUUGAGAGGAUUAGUAUUAAAAUGAAAUGGAAAAUGUCCCCCCUCCCUCUGUUUUCCUUUCUCAAAAUCCUGCCAGAAGCUGAGUGUGCUGGGCAGGCCAGAGUUAAUCCUGGGCUGGCUGUGCGUGCGUGCGUGCGUGCGUGCGUGUGUGUGUGUGUGUGUGUGUAUGUGGGUGGGUGGGGGGCGGCUCAGCGGUUCCUGGCUCCGAGUUGUUUUUAUAACUCACUUAGUACAGACCUUUGUCCCCUCAACGGCCUCAGCUGGGAGUUUCUAAGCAGUGAGAAGCUCCUUGAAUCUUAGGAACAGAAUCUUAGAAUUUUUUUUUUACAUUUGAGUGGUGGGAGCUGGUGUGCGUGCCACCUGCCUCCUCCACCUCCCCACUCAGUGAAAAAACUGUAGGCCAUGGUGCCAGACACAGAACUACGUUUAACACGGAUUUUUUUUUUGGCUGUGCCUGUGGCAUGCGGAAGUUCCUGGGCCAGGGAUGGAACCCCAGCCACGGCAGUAACCUGAGCCAUGGCAGUGACAACGCUGGAUCCUCAACCCGCUGAGCCAGCAGGGAACUCCCAAAUAUGGGUUUUUUUUUUUCAUGAACCCUCAAAACAAUCUAGCAGGGUGGGCAGCACAAUUAUCCCCAUUUUACAGAUGGGGUAACGGAGGCCCAGAGAACGGAAGUUCUGGGGCCACACGUCUCCUGACCACUGCUGCCCUGUGGGUACCAGCCUCUGAUUCAAGCAAGAGGAAGCUGGUCUCAUCCAUUCUUGAUCGGCUGUGCCUUGUUCUUGCUCUUUUGUCCGUUCACCCAUUUGCUCUGGUGUUCACGUCAUCCUUUUGUUCUUUCACAACUAUUAAGAGCCUACUAUGUGCCGGGCUCUGCAUCAGCUCCCAGACCCACACGGUCUCCACUCCUAAGGACUUUUCUUACAUUCCAGACCAGAUGGGAAACAAAGAAGACCUAAGUCAGUAGAUAAACAAACAAGACUGCCGUGAGGGCGAUAAAAGAAGUAAACGGGGCUUUGGGGUGGGGACUUGGGGCAGGGGAGUGCCCAGCCUUGCAGGCUUCCGGGGCAGAGGGUACCAAGCUCACAGCCCUUCCCCGGGGCCCAGGUCCCUGCUUCACUGGCCCCAACUCUCCAGCAAUCUGUUCUGAGCUCAGGCGUCAUUCCUGCCCCGCCUGCUCCCCACAAGUGGUGAAUUUUUAAUGCUGCUUACACGGAACAAAGCAGAGUUUUUGGUUUUGUUUUAAGAGCGUUUCUCAACAACAACAAAAAAAUCAUUUCUGAAGUGUGUGUUGAAGAGAGUGAGAAAGAGCCCAGGGAGUUCCAAUCAGCUCUCCCCAUCAUCUCCUGAGCUCCUUUUAAUUAAAGAAAAUGCAAAAUGUGGGGCUGGAGUUCCCGGGUGGCUUAGUAGGUUGGGGAUCUGGCAUUGUUACUGCUGUGGCUCUGAUCACUGCUGUGGCUUGGGUUUGAUUCCUGACCCCGGAGCUUCUGCAUGCCACAGCCCACCCUCCCAACAACAGCAACGUGGUGCCACACAGGAUCUCGGUCUGGACUUUGUGUUGGCAGAAGGGCACCUGGGAGGGUCCUCGACAUCCAUGUCCUCCGUGAGCCCCUUGGGGACCCAGGCCCCAUCAUUCCUUUUGUCAUACAGAUGAGGAAACCGAGGUGCAGAAGCAAGACGUGUCUGUGGCGUGUCCUCCCGCUAAUAAUGGUGGAGUGGGAGGCAGGAAUCACAUGGGUCCAAUACUGCCUGCCCCAUCACACACACGCACGCACGCACACACGCACGCACGCACACGCGCAUGCGCUCAAGGCUAAGUGAGUUGCCUAAAGUUGCUGCUCUGGCUUCAGGAGGGGUGCAAAUGAGGGAAGGAGCUCUGCUUGUGACACGAAAGGGGUGGGGAGGGGGGACGAGGAGAGAGGCAAACAGAUUCGAGAGUGAAGCCUGGUGGUUUGUGCUGGGGGAAGGGGGCAGUUGGAGCCUUUGCCCAGAACUAAUCCCAGGGUGUAGCAAAGUGGGUCUCGGCCUUGUGUCCUUAGUGAUGGCUCCCCGUGCCCCCUCUGAGCCUAUCCAUUGAGCCCUUACUGUGUACUUGUCACCACCUUCUUGGCAUGAGUCGUCUUGUUGACCCCUCGCGAUAGAAUCCAUGACUGAGAUACCUUCCUCAUCGCGCCCACUUUACAGACGAGGAGGCCGAGGCCCAGAGAGGUGAACUGACUGGAAUCUAGGCUGAUUUGUCUCUUUGAACCCUGACACCGGGGGAAGCAGAUGGCAGGAAGAAGGCGGCUUCCAGGACGGAGAGCUGAGGCUGGUGAACAACCUCGUGAACUUGUGAAACAUUGAUGCUGUUCUUGUCCAUCUUUUCAGCCUAAUUUCCUUGGUUUUCAAGGCUCAGGGUUGGGAGGGUGGUUUGCCCCAGCACUGCUGCUGUAGGGACAGCGAUGGUCCCAGCGUGGAGCCUCAUCUCCCUUUGUGCUGCCUCCUUGUGGCAGGGGCUCUCUUCAGGGCCUGGUGUCCUCCUUGGCAGUGAGGAUGUUUUUGUCCCAUUCAUUUCUCAUUCAUUAGAAAAAGGCAUGGGAGUUCCCACUGUGGCUCAGAGGGUUAAGAACCUGACUAGUGUCCAUGAAGAUGUGGGUUGAUCCCUGGCCUCCUUCAGUAGGUUAAGGAUCCAGGGUCACGGUAAGGUGCAGUGUAGAUCUGACGUUGCUGUGGCCAUGGUGCAGGUCAGCAGCUGCAGCUCCAAUUCAACCCCUAGUGGGGGAACUUCCAUAUGCCAC